AAUCCCGGUAGGAGGGUCAUCGACAAAGCGACCUCGGUCACCCAAUGCUCCAAUGGCUCCAAGGAGUGUGAAGAGAAUGAAGAAGAGAAGAAGGGGUUCAGCUUCAUAAAUGGGAAUUCCAGUCUCCAAAUUCAGCUGUGCUAGGAUUCCUUUCCCUGUUAUUGCUUCGCCUAGCAAUGAUGCCUACAAGUGCCGGAUACGAAUAUUUAAUAAACAGAAAUGAAGAAUUCGAGUAAUAUAAUAUAUAUAUAUGUAUUGGUUGCUUGAAAAGAAAGUAACUUACAGCAAAACCAAGCAUGGCAACACGUCCCACAAAGAGCUCAUUUUGCUUGGUAAAACCAAUCCCUCCAGAGGUGCCAAAGAUCCCAUCUUCAACCUUUGGCUUUGACUUUGGCUCAACCUUUUAUAUUACAACAAGAUGAAUAUAAACACAAUUAUAAAAAAAAAGAAAAAAAGAGUAAAGUUAAAUCCCCACUAAAAAUAUACUAAAUGACAACCUAGCUAGAGAACAAAUUUGAAAUACAAUACCCUCUUGGGAGCUGCUUUGGUCUUUGAUUUAAAGAUAGCUAAAGUGGUGAAAGCUUUGGAUGAAGUAUGGACACCGUUAGACAAUGGAUUGAAGAAGAGAUGAGAGACAGGUUUAGGCUUGAGUCCUUGAGCUUGGAAAUGGAGUAAAGGGUGAUCUCUCU
Molecule: long non-coding RNA, 689 nt
Filed under: Gossypium barbadense (sea-island cotton)
Lineage: Eukaryota; Viridiplantae; Streptophyta; Magnoliopsida; Malvales; Malvaceae
Description: long non-coding RNA (GBAR_LNC003953)
Source: RNAcentral